CAGGAAAGGAACUCACAGAUGAA
RNAcentral lists this non-coding RNA (23 nucleotides) under Cricetulus griseus (Chinese hamster). Lineage: Eukaryota; Metazoa; Chordata; Mammalia; Rodentia; Cricetidae. The record is from RNAcentral.